Molecule: ribosomal RNA, 241 nt
Filed under: uncultured bacterium
Lineage: Bacteria
Description: partial 16S ribosomal RNA
Rfam family: Bacterial small subunit ribosomal RNA
Source: RNAcentral
GGUUUAGCAAAUACUCUUAAAGCCGUUCUCAGUUCGGAUUGUAGGCUGCAACUCGCCUACAUGAAGUCGGAAUCGCUAGUAAUCGCGGAUCAGCAUGCCGCGGUGAAUACGUUCCCGGGCCUUGUACACACCGCCCGUCACACCAUGAGAGUUUGUAACACCCAAAGCCGGUGGGGUAACCUUUUGGAGCCAGCCGUCUAAGGUGGGACAGAUGAUUGGGGUGAAGUCGUAACAAGGUAAC